This 229-nucleotide ribosomal RNA is filed under the name uncultured bacterium. Its description in RNAcentral is "partial 16S ribosomal RNA". It matches the Rfam family "Bacterial small subunit ribosomal RNA", at positions 568 to 796 of the family's 1533-position model. The record is from RNAcentral.
UGCGUAGGUGGCUCAAUCAGUCAGAGGUGAAAUCUUGCGGCUUAACCGUAAAAUUGCCUUUGAUACUGUUGGGCUUGAAUUAGGUUGAGGUUGGCGGAAUGUGGCAUGUAGCGGUGAAAUGCAUAGAUAUGCCAUAGAACACCAAUUACGAAGGCAGCUGACUAGACCUUAAUUGACACUGAGGCACGAAAGCGUGGGGAGCGAACAGGAUUAGAUACCCUGGUAGUCC